AACGCUGGCGGCGUGCCUAAUACAUGCAAGUCGAACGGUCUUUCUAUGGAAGCUUGCUUCCACUGAGAAGAUAGUGGCGAACGGGUGAGUAACACGUGGGUAACCUGCCCAUAAGAGGGGGAUAACAUCCGGAAACGGGUGCUAAUACCGCAUAGUUUUCUUGAUCGCAUGAUUGAGAAGAAAGAUGGCCUUUGUGCUGUCGCUUAUGGAUGGACCCGCGGCGUAUUAGUUAGUUGGUGAGGUAACGGCUCACCAAGACGAUGAUACGUAGCCGACCUGAGAGGGUGAUCGGCCACAUUGGGACUGAGACACGGCCCAAACUCCUACGGGAGGCAGCAGUAGGGAAUCUUCCGCAAUGGACGAAAGUCUGACGGAGCAACGCCGCGUGAGUGAAGAAAAGGUUUUCGGAUCGUAAAACUCUGUUGUCAGAGAAGAACAAGUUGGAGAGUAACUGCUCCAGCCUUGACGGUAUCUGACCAGAAAGCCACGGCUAACUACGUGCCAGCCGCCGC
Molecule: ribosomal RNA, 512 nt
Filed under: uncultured bacterium
Lineage: Bacteria
Description: bacterial SSU rRNA
Rfam family: Bacterial small subunit ribosomal RNA
Source: RNAcentral